AUGAACCAAACGUCGAGUUAAGGGGCCUAAACGAAUGCUCAUUCAGAUCCCAUCGAAAGGUGUUGGUUGCUAUAGACAGCAGGACGGUGGCCAUGGAAGUUGGAAUCCGCUAAGGAGUGUGUAACAACUCACCUGCCGAAGCAACUAGCCCUUAAAAUGGUAUGGCGCUAAAGCAUUCUCCCGAUACUCGACCGCCGGGGCAUUACAGGCUUGUUAAUUCAGGUCUCGAAGCCCCGGUGAGUAGGAGGGUCGCGGUGGUGAGCGCAGAAGGGUUCGGCGUGAGCCGGCCUGGAGCCUCCACCGGUGCAGAUCUUGGUGGUAGUAGCAAAUAAUCGAGAGAGACUUCCUUGAAGGCCGAAGUGGAGAAGGGUUCCA
This 375-nucleotide ribosomal RNA is filed under the name Acantharctus posteli. RNAcentral describes it as "eukaryotic LSU rRNA". It matches the Rfam family "Eukaryotic large subunit ribosomal RNA", at positions 1163 to 1511 of the family's 3401-position model. Lineage: Eukaryota; Metazoa; Arthropoda; Malacostraca; Decapoda; Scyllaridae. The record is from RNAcentral.